Molecule: ribosomal RNA, 256 nt
Filed under: uncultured bacterium
Lineage: Bacteria
Description: partial 16S ribosomal RNA
Rfam family: Bacterial small subunit ribosomal RNA
Source: RNAcentral
UACGUAGGGUGCGAGCGUUAAUCGGAAUUACUGGGCGUAAAGCGUGCGCAGGCGGCGCGUUUAAGACAGGUGUGAAAGCCCCCGAGCUUAACUUGGGAAUUGCGCUUGUGACUGGCGUGCUGGAGUGUGGCAGAGGGAGGUGGAAUUCCACGUGUAGCAGUGAAAAUGCGUAGAGAUGUGGAGGAAUACCGAUGGCGAAGGCAGCCCCCUGGGAUAACACUGACGCUCAUGCACGAAAGCGUGGGGAGCAAACAGG